UUUCAAGAAAUAUAGUUAACUGUAAGUGCUGUAUUUUAAUAAUCUAUCAAAAAUCAAAAUCAUCAGGAUAAUAUUACGUAUUGAUUUUCAAACAAGAAUUAGAUUACAGCGAUGGUCAAAAGCAUUUAGAUAUUGCUUUGAAAUCUACAGAUAAGGCAUGGCAGUUUCGUUUUAAAGAACAAGAUGUUAAAGUUUAUGAUAAAAUUGUCAUCAGAAAUACUGUCCACUUGCAGUAUUUACAUAGGAAAAUGUUGGAGGAUGAAGCUCUACCUACUGCCUCAGGUUAAUUUAAAUUCUGAGUUGCAACAACAGCAACAAGCAAGGAGGGCACCAUUAAAUGAAUAUUAUACACAUAUUAUUAUUAUUAUACAAAGAAAGAGUAAUGUUAUACACAUAAAUAUUAACAUUUUGUAGAGCAACAACAGAAUAAAAAACCAAAAUAUGAACACCAGCAACUAAAACAGGAACCAUUAAAUGAAUAUUAUAUACAGCAAUAACAGCAUCAAAUAAUGGAAAUAAUGGACCUUAUUGCACAAAUGAAAAACAAAAUUUCAGCAUUACUACUUUAUUGGUUAUAUCAAUAAUAGAAAUUGAGUUUAUCAGUCUAGAUCCUACAAGCAAGCAGAUCUAUCACAUAAUUUUAAAUGAAGAUUUAUCUAUUAUAGUAAUUUAUUCUAAUAACGAAAAAAAAACUUUGGAU
Long non-coding RNA from Sitophilus oryzae (rice weevil), 700 nucleotides. RefSeq lists it as uncharacterized. Lineage: Eukaryota; Metazoa; Arthropoda; Insecta; Coleoptera; Curculionidae. The record is from RefSeq and is a predicted model, not a curated record. The transcript is spliced from 3 exons.